Molecule: ribosomal RNA, 1373 nt
Filed under: Campylobacter jejuni
Lineage: Bacteria; Pseudomonadati; Campylobacterota; Epsilonproteobacteria; Campylobacterales; Campylobacteraceae
Description: bacterial SSU rRNA
Rfam family: Bacterial small subunit ribosomal RNA
Source: RNAcentral
CAAGAGGACAACAGUUGGAAACGACUGCUAAUACUCUAUACUCCUGCUUAACACAAGUUGAGUAGGGAAAGUUUUUCGGUGUAGGAUGAGACUAUAUAGUAUCAGCUAGUUGGUAAGGUAAUGGCUUACCAAGGCUAUGACGCUUAACUGGUCUGAGAGGAUGAUCAGUCACACUGGAACUGAGACACGGUCCAGACUCCUACGGGAGGCAGCAGUAGGGAAUAUUGCGCAAUGGGGGAAACCCUGACGCAGCAACGCCGCGUGGAGGAUGACACUUUUCGGAGCGUAAACUCCUUUUCUUAGGGAAGAAUUCUGACGGUACCUAAGGAAUAAGCACCGGCUAACUCCGUGCCAGCAGCCGCGGUAAUACGGAGGGUGCAAGCGUUACUCGGAAUCACUGGGCGUAAAGGGCGCGUAGGCGGAUUAUCAAGUCUCUUGUGAAAUCUAAUGGCUUAACCAUUAAACUGCUUGGGAAACUGAUAGUCUAGAGUGAGGGAGAGGCAGAUGGAAUUGGUGGUGUAGGGGUAAAAUCCGUAGAUAUCACCAAGAAUACCCAUUGCGAAGGCGAUCUGCUGGAACUCAACUGACGCUAAGGCGCGAAAGCGUGGGGAGCAAACAGGAUUAGAUACCCUGGUAGUCCACGCCCUAAACGAUGUACACUAGUUGUUGGGGUGCUAGUCAUCUCAGUAAUGCAGCUAACGCAUUAAGUGUACCGCCUGGGGAGUACGGUCGCAAGAUUAAAACUCAAAGGAAUAGACGGGGACCCGCACAAGCGGUGGAGCAUGUGGUUUAAUUCGAAGAUACGCGAAGAACCUUACCUGGGCUUGAUAUCCUAAGAACCUUUUAGAGAUAAGAGGGUGCUAGCUUGCUAGAACUUAGAGACAGGUGCUGCACGGCUGUCGUCAGCUCGUGUCGUGAGAUGUUGGGUUAAGUCCCGCAACGAGCGCAACCCACGUAUUUAGUUGCUAACGGUUCGGCCGAGCACUCUAAAUAGACUGCCUUCGUAAGGAGGAGGAAGGUGUGGACGACGUCAAGUCAUCAUGGCCCUUAUGCCCAGGGCGACACACGUGCUACAAUGGCAUAUACAAUGAGACGCAAUACCGCGAGGUGGAGCAAAUCUAUAAAAUAUGUCCCAGUUCGGAUUGUUCUCUGCAACUCGAGAGCAUGAAGCCGGAAUCGCUAGUAAUCGUAGAUCAGCCAUGCUACGGUGAAUACGUUCCCGGGUCUUGUACUCACCGCCCGUCACACCAUGGGAGUUGAUUUCACUCGAAGCCGGAAUACUAAACUAGUUACCGUCCACAGUGGAAUCAGCGACUGGGGUGAAGUCGUAACAAGGUAACCGUAGGAGAACCUGCGGUUGGAUCACCUCCUUU